Molecule: long non-coding RNA, 1091 nt
Filed under: Sus scrofa (pig)
Lineage: Eukaryota; Metazoa; Chordata; Mammalia; Artiodactyla; Suidae
Description: lncRNA (ENSSSCG00060008366.1)
Source: RNAcentral
UGGAGAGUUAGCCCUGAGGCUGAAGGACCACUUCCCCAAACCCUGAGGGACAGUGCUUUCUCUGCUGUCACUGAGCCUCCCAGACAUCACAGUGAUGUCCAGCUUGGCUCUGUAACUGCCCAGUGGAAUGCUAGCAGAAGUGAAAUUGGCCACGUCUGAGAAGUUUAAACAGCCCUGCUGUGAUCCCACCAUGGCUUCUUUCCUGGUGCCAUGAGGAUGCAUGUCCUAGGCACAGGCAGACUGCUACAUCAGCCUGGAUCCCAGCCAGCAAGGUUGAUUCAGCAUCUUACUUCUCUUUUCCUGAUGAUGGACUUUGCUAAGGAGGACAAGUUGACCUGAAGAGCCUCUACUACCUCCAGGCGUGAGCACAUGCCAGGUGACUCCUCACAGCUCCACAAGCCAGCACUGUCAUUGCCAUGCAACAGAACGAGCCUUAAGCAAAUGUCUGAAACUUAGGAAACCGCCAGGAACCAUAGAACCCAGCCCAAGAAGAUGGCUGUCAGUUGGCCAAAGUCUUGAGAAGUCAGUUUUGUUUGCAACUCUAAAAAUGUUUAGGACUUCUAGUCAAUACUUGACAGCAGAUGAUGGGAGCAGAAAUCUUGUCUUUGUUUCCAGCCUUAAGAGGAAAAAUAUAUUUUAAUCUACCGCAUUCCUGAAUAGAAUUAAGGAUCUGGACUAAAGACCGGGCAGGAAUUCUUCAGUUUUCCACAUUCUUCUUAACUCACUGUGGGGCUCUUAACAGAGAAGCAAGAUUGGCCCUUCACUCAGUUGAUCUGUAUCCCUUCUCUCUACAAGAAGCAGGUUAAGGAUCUGAUAUUGUCACUGCUAUGGCACAGGUUCGAUCCCUGGUCUGGGAACUUCUGCAUGCCAGAGACAUGGCCAAAAGAAUAAAAAAGGAAUGAUACAGAACUACUGAAGAAACAAAAACACAGUAGGAAAAAAAAAACAGAAGGAAUCAAUAGCAGGAUAAUGGCAGCAGAAGGAAGAAUAAAUGAAGUGGAAGACAGAGUGAUGGAAAUCACUGCCAUAGAAAGGAAUUGAAAAACAAAAAUGAAAAGGACUGAGAAGCAAAAAAAAAAAAAAAAAAAAAA